RNAcentral lists this long non-coding RNA (2506 nucleotides) under Mus musculus (house mouse). RNAcentral describes it as "predicted gene, 18409". Lineage: Eukaryota; Metazoa; Chordata; Mammalia; Rodentia; Muridae. The record is from RNAcentral.
GCAGUCGGCUUUUCUGGUCCUUAGUUUCCAUGUAUCACUGAGGAUAAUGAGGCCAGGAAGAGGAGAAGGAAAUUAAUUACUCAAGGUUCUCUGGAUAUUUUGUGUCAGAUCCAGGUCUUUUUCUUCGAUUUAAUUUUCUUUGGUUGCGAAGGUGCCGGUUUCUGACAGUCUCGUGACUCUCUGAAAAGAUGUAUAGUCUGUGUAUAUUCUGUCUUGCGCAUGUGCUCUGAGACAUCUUCAAUGGAGUCAUUGUUGAGCAGCUUCCAAACACUGUCUCCACAGUAACCAUACUCUCAAGAAAGAACAACACGUGCAAACGUCUGAGACGAUGAUGUAUUCACCGUUAACUUUAGUCUGGUGGGCUGCUUAUUUUUGAGACGGAGUCUUGCUAUGCAGCCCAACUUAGCCUCCAGCUCAAGGUAUGUCGGCCACCUGAGUGCCGGGAUUACAUAUGUGUGUUACUACAAUUUUCUCUAUGAAUAACUUUGAAGAGUACAAAAUUCCACAGGUUUCACCAAGCACAAGGAAAAGUCUCCUGGGAGAGAUGACUGUAGAAGGGAACUCUCACAGUAGAAGAUACUGGACUUGGUGCAACCUGUUCCAUGCAUGAAGCUUCUUGUAUACUCAUUUGAAAAUAUUCUUCUUCUAUGAGAAGUAGCAAGCACUACCAACUCCCUGCCAUAUAGCAAUGGUAAAUGGCCUGUCCUACAUGAAGUGCUGGUGGUAGCUAACUGUUAGGAGAAUGGACUUAAGCACUUCUCAACAUGAAGCGUAUCCAGUGUGCCUUGAAGUAUACUGGAUGUUGGCAGCAUCAGGAAAACAAGGCCUAGAGUGUGGACCUGUAGUGCUAGUUACUCCAGAGGCUGAGGCAGGAGGAUUACAAGUUGAGCUUGUGAAUCUGGGCUACCAGAGAGUACAAAAGUGGCCUGGGAAAUUAACAGGUUCCAUUUCUAAAUUUUAAAAUGGCUGGUUUAUAAUACAGUGGUAGAACACCUAUACAGUACACACAAGGCCAUGGUUUAAUCUACAAUUGAAAGGAAGAAAGGAGGGGGGAGGGGGGAAGGAAAUCAUUCCAAUAUAUUCAGCAGUCGAAACUAAAGGGAGAAUUUGAGUGCACUGCUUGGCACACUUAGUACCUGCUUUUCCAGCAGAAUUGUUGAUAACAUUCUAGUUUGGAUGGUAAACUAUAUAGUUCCCCUACUUAUUAAGCAAUUCGUGCAUGCUAAGCAUUAUAGAUGCAAGAUAUUCUCUAUCAUUGAAGUGUUAACUUCUGUCCCGUGAAAACAGACAAGUAAACCUUUGUGAUGUGUAUAAUGUAUACACUUUGCAUGUUAGAGAUUAACACGUAAUGUUUUCAAACUUUACCCAUGGCUUCUUAGCUGCAGACUGAGUCCGAAUGCUUGUCAGAGUCCCCGGGGGUGGGCCCAUGAUAAGUAGUCUUACAGGAAAAGUAGGAGCUAGCUAAGUGAAGAAUGUUCCAACCCAAAUGAUGGGUGGUUGCCAAGGAAGACGAACAAAAGAGACCACAGCAGUUUAGGAGAACUGAAAGCAUUUGAUUUGUGGAGCCCCGCCAUGAGCAGGCAGGGGAGUGAGCUGGAACUCUGGAGGAUAACUGCUGGAUCUUGAAGCCCUCACACUGAUUGAAAGUCUGAACUGAAUUCCCAGACUUGGAGCACUAGCCAUGCAUAAAACACAGCAUUGCCUUGGCGACAGCAGGAGCAUAAAUGACAGAGGACAGGGACACAAGGAAAUAUAAGCAGAAGUUUUAGGGAGGGAUGCACAUUUAAUCUCCCAGUUCAAUUUGGCAUAAGCCUCUCUUUUCGAUCACCUCCACACACCUUUUGAAUUAAAGAAUAAUGUGUUCCCCGGGCCAAGCCCAUGUCUUUCCCAUUACCACCUGCUCCCGGGUGGGCUCACGGUAUCCUUUUUCCCCUCACUCAUCUGUUCCUUCCACUUCAUGGACCACCAAUGGCACGGGCAUCAAAAUGUCCAGCCAAGUUGUGUGCCAGGAAGCCUGCCACAUGGGAGUUGGCACACAGCCUCAGGACUGCAACAGAAUGCACAGCUAGGAGGCUGGCUUUCACAAGUGAAGCAGAGACGGCAUUAUUGUAGCCUAUGCAGGAUAAAUAGCUAUGUAGUAAAUGGGUCUUGUUUUGCCCGUGCUUUCUAACAAGUAGAUCUCACUAUUUUGGAGAAAGUCUAGCUUUGGCCUUUCCCAUUAUGUGAUCCCUCUCCCUGUGUACUUUUCAGCAUGGAAAUGUAUGAGGAACAUCUGUAGGACCUUAGUAUUGAUCAGUAGAUGUAGACAGCUAUAAGACAGGAAGGACUGAACCCAUGUGUCUGUAGACAAAGAUGAACGCCGUGUUGAAAUGCAUUUACCUGACACAGAAAGGUCAUUGGAAUGCUCUACAGAUGAGUUUACUGCUGUUACUACACUGACUGGAGCUCUGGGUCAGUAUAAGGAAGAAGAAUUUGGAAAACUCUUAAGUAAAUAUCCAGCAGAUUC